GACGAACGCUGGCGGCGUGCUUAACACAUGCAAGUCGAACGGGUCUGCCCUGUUUUUUGCGGGGUGGGUCAGUGGCGAACGGGUGAGUAACACGUGAGUAACCUGCCCCUCACUUCUGGAUAACCGCUUGAAAGGGUGGCUAAUACGGGGUGUUCUGGCUGUGCCGCAUGGUGUGGCUGGGAAAGAUUCACUUUUGUGGUGUCUUGGUGGGGGAUGGGCUCGCGGCCUAUCAGCUUGUUGGUGGGGUGAUGGCCUGCCAAGGCUUUGACGGGUAGCCGGCCUGGGAGGGUGGGCGGUCACACUGGGACUGAGAUACGGCCCAGACUCCUGCGGGAGGCAGCAGGGGGGGGUAUUGCACAAUGGGCGGAAGCCUGAUGCAGCGGCGUCGCGUGAGGGAUGGAGGCCUUCGGGUUGUGAACCUCUUUCGCCGGUGAAGAAGGUCCUGCUCUUUGUGGUGGGGUUGACGGUAGCCGGGUUAUGAAGCGCCGGCUAACUACGUG
Molecule: ribosomal RNA, 500 nt
Filed under: uncultured bacterium
Lineage: Bacteria
Description: partial 16S ribosomal RNA
Rfam family: Bacterial small subunit ribosomal RNA
Source: RNAcentral